CCUUCUCUACCAGCAUCGGGAGUACCCGCAGAUGCUCGAGCUGGCGCGGCGGAUCUUCGGCACGGGUCGCAUCCGUCCCAAGCCCGGCGACGACCGGGUAUGGGAGUUUGCGAUCACGAGCCGGCGGAGCCUGGCGGAAAAGGUGGUGCCCUUCCUGCGCAAGUACAUGGUGUACUCUCCCCGGCGCGAGAUCUACGAGCGAUUCUGCGCUAUCGUGGAGGCCAUGGAACGCAAGGAGCACCGCACGCCGGACGGGUUGGCGCGUAUCGUCGAGCAGGCGUACGCGUUGAACCCCGCUGCCAAGGGCACGGCCCGGAAGCGGGCCGUGUCGGCGGUAGUAGGCAGAAUCCUCAGAGACUAUACGCCGGACCCGCGAUCAGGCGGGAAGAGAUAGUCCGUCCUGCAUGGCGACAUGCAGAUUAACACCGAGCCUAAGGUAGCGAAAUUCCUUGUCGGGUAAGUUCCGACCUGCACGAAUGGCGUAACGAGCUGAGCGCUGUCUCGACGAGAGACUCGGCGAAGUUGUGCGGCCUGUGAAGACACAGGCUACCCGCAGCUGGACGGAAAGACCCCGUGAAGCUUUACUGCAGCUUGUCAUUGGAUUUGGUCUUACCAUGCAGAGGAUAGGUGGGAGGCUGAGAAGCCGGGGCUCCGGCCUCGGUGGAGCCGCCCUUGGAAUACCACCCUUGGCAAGGCUAAGUCCUAACCGGGGACCUCACCGGUUUCCGGGACAGUGGCAGGUGGGCAGUUUGACUGGGGCGGUCGCCUCCUAAACGGUAACGGAGGCGCCCAAAGGUCCCCUCAGCACGGUUGGAAACCGUGCGGCGAGUGUAAGGGCAUAAGGGGGCUUGACUGUGAGGCCGACAAGCCGAGCAGGGACGAAAGUCGGGCCUAGUGAUCCUACGGCGGCAAGUGGAAGCGCCGUGGCUUAACGGAUAAAAGCUACUCCGGGGAUAACAGGCUGAUCUCCCCCAAUAGUCCACAUAGACGGGGAGGUUUGGCACCUCGAUGUCGGCUCAUCGCAUCCUGGGGCUGCAGUAGGUCCCAAGGGUUGGGCUGUUCGCCCAUUAAAGCGGUACGUGAGCUGGGUUCAGAACGUCGUGAGACAGUUCGGUCCCUAUCCACUGCGGGCGCAGGUGGCUUGAGGGGAGCUGCUCCUAGUACGAGAGGACCGGAGUGGACGGACCUCUGGCGUACCGGUUGUCCUGCCAAGGGCACGCGCCGGGUACCUAUGUCCGGACGGGAUAAGCGCUGAAAGCAUCUAAGCGCGAAGCCCACCCCAAGAUGAGGCCACCCACCGGGUCAACCGGGUAAGCCCCCAGGAAGACGACCUGGUUGAUAGGCCGGAGGUGUAAGCGCCGCAAGGCGUUGAGCUGACCGGUACUAAUCGGGCGAGGGCUUGAUCAC
This 1407-nucleotide ribosomal RNA is filed under the name Pseudomonadota bacterium. RNAcentral's name for it is "partial 23S ribosomal RNA". It matches the Rfam family "Bacterial large subunit ribosomal RNA", at positions 1819 to 2925 of the family's 2925-position model. The record is from RNAcentral. RNAcentral also lists the same sequence under 1 other name. Lineage: Bacteria; Pseudomonadati; Pseudomonadota.